This 502-nucleotide ribosomal RNA is filed under the name uncultured bacterium. RNAcentral's name for it is "bacterial SSU rRNA". It matches the Rfam family "Bacterial small subunit ribosomal RNA", at positions 10 to 507 of the family's 1533-position model. The record is from RNAcentral.
AGUUUGAUCAUGGCUCAGAUUAAACGCUGGCGGCAUGCCUUACACAUGCAAGUCGAACGGCAGCACGGGGGCAACCCUGGUGGCGAGUGGCGAACGGGUGAGUAAAGCAUCGGAACGUGCCCUGGAGUGGGGGAUAACGUAGCGAAAGUUACGCUAAUACCGCAUAUUCUGUGAGCAGGAAAGCAGGGGAUCGCAAGACCUUGCGCUCUGGGAGCGGCCGAUGUCGGAUUAGCUAGUUGGUGGGGUAAAGGCCUACCAAGGCGACGAUCCGUAGCGGGUCUGAGAGGAUGAUCCGCCACACUGGGACUGAGACACGGCCCAGACUCCUACGGGAGGCAGCAGUGGGGAAUUUUGGACAAUGGGCGAAAGCCUGAUCCAGCCAUGCCGCGUGAGUGAAGAAGGCCUUCGGGUUGUAAAGCUCUUUCGGUGGGGAAGAAAUUGCAUAGGCUAAUACCCUAUGUAGAUGACGGUACCUGGAGAAGAAGCACCGGCUAACUACGUG